GGAAGUUAAUAAACUGUUUUUUAACUUUUAACUAAAAAAUGUAAGAACCGGUUCUUAAAGUCUUUAUUUAAGAACCGAUUCUUACAUUUUUUAGUUAAAAGUUAAGAAACAGUUUCUUAAAUUCC
RNAcentral lists this microRNA precursor (125 nucleotides) under Brassica oleracea var. oleracea. RNAcentral describes it as "MIR9563 microRNA precursor family". It matches the Rfam family "MIR9563 microRNA precursor family". The record is from Rfam by way of RNAcentral. Lineage: Eukaryota; Viridiplantae; Streptophyta; Magnoliopsida; Brassicales; Brassicaceae.